This 305-nucleotide ribosomal RNA is filed under the name uncultured bacterium. RNAcentral's name for it is "bacterial SSU rRNA". It matches the Rfam family "Bacterial small subunit ribosomal RNA", at positions 338 to 660 of the family's 1533-position model. The record is from RNAcentral.
CCUACGGGACGCAGCAGUGGGGAAUAUUGCACAAUGGGGGAAACCCUGAUGCAGCGACGCCGCGUGAGUGAAGAAGUAUUUCGGUAUGUAAAGCUCUGUCAGCAGGGAAGAAGUUGACGGUACCUGAGUAAGAAGCCCCGGCUAACUACGUGCCAGCAGCCGCGGUAAUACGUAGGGGGCAAGCGUUAUCCGGAUUUAUUGGGUGUAAAGGGCGUGUAGGCGGGAAUGCAAGUCAGAUGUGAAAACUAUGGGCUCAACCCAUAGCCUGCAUUUGAAACUGUAUUUCUUGAGUGCUGGAGAGGCAA